Small nucleolar RNA from Sorex araneus (European shrew), 132 nucleotides. The record is from Ensembl. NCBI's taxonomy places the organism in Eukaryota, Metazoa, Chordata, Mammalia, Eulipotyphla, Soricidae.
AGGCAAGCCUCCAGCAUCCUGGGGUAUGGAGUGACCCUGUGCAUUCCUACAGUGCUUGCAAGAACAUUAUAAAAUGGUUUGAGGCCUUGCCCUGCUCCAUCAGGAACAAGGUUAUAGAAAUUUCAGAUAUGA